UACGUAGGGUGCAAGCGUUUGUCCGGAAUUAUUGGGCGUAAAGAGCUCGUAGGCGGUUUGUCGCGUCUGCUGUGAAAACUCGGGGCUUAACCCCGGGCCUGCAGUGGGUACGGGCAGACUAGAGUGCGGUAGGGGAGACUGGAAUUCCUGGUGUAGCGGUGAAAUGCGCAGAUAUCAGGAGGAACACCGGUGGCGAAGGCGGAUCUCUGGGCCAUUACUGACGCUGAGGAGCGAAAGCGUGGGGAGCGAACAGG
This 254-nucleotide ribosomal RNA is filed under the name uncultured bacterium. RNAcentral describes it as "partial 16S ribosomal RNA". It matches the Rfam family "Bacterial small subunit ribosomal RNA", at positions 524 to 776 of the family's 1533-position model. The record is from RNAcentral.